CGGCACCCUCGGCCUUGAGCUCGCCGGCCCGGGCCGCCUCGUCCUCCGCCGCUGCCGCCUCAUCCUCGGGGGCCGCGGGGGCCUCGUCGGCGCGGGGCCAGGCGCGCCCGUUGGGCUGGCCGGAGUAGCCGGAGGAGGACGAGGACAGCGAGGGCGACACGGAGGCGUAGGGGCGGCUGAGCAGGCCGCGGUCCGAGGCCCAGUGGUGGUCGAAGUAGCCGGCGUCGCCGAUCUCGGACUUGACCUUGCGGAUGAUGCUCUGCACGAAGGCGGGGGGGACAGCACCGUGAGAGGCGUUGGCGCGGCGCGCCGCCCCGCCCACGCCGUCCUCCUGCUUGACCAGGCGGGCGCUCCGUUCUGGCUCCCAGCCGCCAGCGAGGGCCGCAGGGUCGGGGGCGACGGGGGCACCGAGCGGCCACGGGGCCCGGCCUCCAUCUCCAGCAGGGCCUGCUGCUGGGCCUGCAUCUCGCGGCGUGCCUGCUCCAGGAUGUUCUUGAUGGCAUCCUCCGAGCAAAAUAAUGGCACAAACCCAAUGCACAUGGGUAGAAGAAUGGAUAAUAAAUAAUGGCAUGGCUAGACAGUGGAAUGGUAUACAGCAGGGAAAAAGGAAACCACCCUGCAAAACUACCAUGAGCAAUAGUGAAGAUGGCACAUGGUCAUGAUGAACAUGUCUUCUAUAAAGCUCCAAAGAAGCAAAAUAAACAAUGUGUGACUCAGUGAGGAAUUUUUUUUUUUUUUUUUUUUUUUUAACAAAUAGCAAACACAAAGGAAUGAAAAACAUUUAGGAUGACGGUAUCUCUGGGAGAGCAGACAGGUUUGGCAUGGAGGAGGCAAAAGCCAGAAGAGUGAAGACCUCGGGAGUUUUCUAAAUCCUGGGUGGGGCUAUAGGCUCCCAGAGGUGUGCUCUCUGUUACACGAAUGAAUGAACAAAUGAACACAUAAACACAUGAGCAGAAGGCCAUGCAGGGAGCUACCAUGGCAGUGUCACCACCCAAGGACAGAUGGAUCUGUGCCUGAGGAAGGAAAACUGCAGAGCAGCCCGUCCUCCUGGGUCCCCCACCCCUGCAUGGGUCAGUCAGGUCAGCCUCUGUGCAGUUUCCAUCCUGGGGGAGUUCCCCACAGACCCAUUAAAAUGUUUAUGGUUUUCCAACUGAAACAGCGAUGGAACAUUAUUUAGUCAUAAAAAGGAACGCAGCACUGAUCCACGCUACAACCUAGAAUAACUCUAAAAACAAGGGAGAGAAGCUGACACAAAAGACCAUCUGAUUUAG
Molecule: long non-coding RNA, 1271 nt
Filed under: Heterocephalus glaber (naked mole-rat)
Lineage: Eukaryota; Metazoa; Chordata; Mammalia; Rodentia; Bathyergidae
Description: lncRNA (ENSHGLG00100036239.1)
Source: RNAcentral